RNA transcript from Mus musculus (house mouse), 2623 nucleotides. It is a transcript of the gene named a disintegrin and metallopeptidase domain 32, with no coding region annotated. NCBI's taxonomy places the organism in Eukaryota, Metazoa, Chordata, Mammalia, Rodentia, Muridae. The transcript is spliced from 22 exons. The record is from RefSeq and is marked validated.
GAGGAUGGAGGCGGGGUAGGGGGUUAGGGCGCUCCAAGGACGUGGCCCACGGUGGCCCCUGGCACGUGCCCCACAGCCCCGCGCAACGGCUUUACAACUGUCUAGGUACUCCAGGAGACGCCAUGCUGGGCGCCAUGCUGCACACACUGCUGCUGCUGCUGCUGGCCGAGCUGGGGGCCUUGCUGGCAUCAGGACCCGAGUCUCAAAGUUCAUUUCUAGAAAUCAUAUUUCCAGAGAAAAUUGAAGAUAAAACACACUCAGAAGAACAGAUAUCCUAUAUUAUUCCAAUAAACAAGAAGCAGUACACUGUGCACCUCCAGAAAAGAUAUUUUUUAACGAAUCGUUUUAUGGUUUAUAUGUAUAAUCAAGGAUCUACAAGUUUUCAUUCUCCAAACAUUCCGGCUCAGUGCUAUUAUCAAGGACACAUCAAAGGCUACCCGAACUCAGUCGCCACCCUCAGCACAUGCUCUGGACUGAGAGGGUUCCUGCAGUUUGAGAAUGUGUCCUACGGAAUUGAGCCUCUGCAAUCUGCAUUUACAUCUCAACACAUUGUUUAUAAGCUAGGGAACAAAGAGAAGGAGUUGAUAUUUAACAAAAACAGCAGAAACAUAGAGAUGCCUACAAACUAUGGCAUUUUAAUCAACAAAAAGCCAAAAUCACCUUUUAAAAACUUGUUUCCCCUCUAUCUAGAGAUGAGUAUUGUGGUGGACAAAGCGCUGUAUGAUUACUUGGGCUCUGACAGCAAUAUUGUAACAAAUAAAAUCAUUGAAAUUAUCAGUCUUAUAAAUUCAGUGUUUGCCCAACUCAAGGUUACUAUCGUGUUGUCCUCAUUGGAGUUGUGGUCAGAUAAGAAUAAGAUUCCUACAGUUGGUGAAGCAGAUGAAUUAUUGCAUAAAUUUCUAGAAUGGAAGCAGGCCUACCUUACCCUAAGACCUCAUGAUGUUGCAUAUCUAUUCAUUUAUAACGAGUACCCAAAUUACAUGGGAGCAACGUAUCCUGGGAAGAUGUGUACUGCCCACUACUCUGCAGGAAUCACAAUGUACCCCAAGGAUAUGACCUUGGAGGCCUUUUCGGUUAUUCUCACCCAAAUGCUGGGGCUCAGUCUGGGGAUAUCGUAUGAUGAGCCUGAGAAAUGCUACUGCUCGGAAUCCAUCUGCAUCAUGAAUCCCAGGGCGAUGCAAUAUGGAGGUGUGAAGUCAUUUAGCAAUUGCAGUUUGAAUGACUUUGAACAUUUUAAAUCGAACGAGGGUGCCAAAUGUCUGCAGAAUAAGCCACAGAUGCAAAGGACUGCAGCAGCGGUCUGCGGAAAUGGCAAGGUGGAGGGUGAUGAAAUUUGUGACUGUGGCUCUGAAGCAGAAUGUGGGCCUGAUAGCUGUUGUGAACCUAACAGAUGUGUUCUGAAAGCAGGAAGAGCUUGUGACAGUAAGUCUCCCUCAUCAACAUGCUGCAAAAAUUGUCAAUUUUUACCAGAAAAACAUCAAUGUAGGCCGGAAAAGCAUCUAUACUGUGACAUUCCUGAAGUCUGCAAUGGGAGCUCAGGAAAUUGUCCACCUGAUGUAACUAUAAACAAUGGGCAUGUUUGCAAAGAAAGCGGGACUAUCUGUUAUAAUGGAGACUGUCCGGACCUGGACAGGGUGUGCGAGUCAAUAUAUGGAGCAGGUUCAGUGAAUGCUCCAUUUGCCUGCUAUGAAGAAAUCCAGGGCCAAAAUGAUAGGUUUGGCAACUGUGGCAAAGACAACCGAAACAGAUAUGUGUUCUGUGGAUGGAGGAAUCUCAUAUGUGGGAGAUUGAUUUGUACGUACCCUACCCGAAUGCCUUACAACCCACCCAAUAACAGUACAGCUUCUGUGAUCUAUGCUUUUGUGCGAGACAAAGUGUGUAUAACUGUGGACUUUGGAUCGAGUGUCAAAGAAGAUCCACUCAGGGUUGCUAAUGGUGCUACAUGUGAUCUUGAUAGGAUCUGCUUAAAUGGCGUGUGCGUAGAAUCGAGAUUUCUUAGGGAUCAAUCAAAAACGUGUUCAUCCAAGUGCCACGGGAACGGAGUGUGCAAUUCUCAUGGUGUCUGCCACUGCAAUGCCGGCUACUCACCUCCCAACUGUCAAUAUCCUACGACAAAAAGGUCAGCAUCGCUGUGGUCUGGCAAGCACGAUCUGCCCAUGGAAAGAGCAUCUAAGAACCAAGAAAAGAAGUGGCUUUUAAGUUUGUACAUUGUCUUAAUUAUCCUCGCUUCAGUGUUCCUCAUAGGCACAGGGUGGAAAGGCUUGAAACAGUGCGGUUCCAAGGAAGAGGAGUCCAUGAGUAGCGAAAGCAAAUCAGAAGACAGCACUUACACGUAUGUCAGCAGGUGAGUUCAUUAAAAGACGGUGUGAAGAGACAUGUUGAAAAUGAACAUCAUAACUUUCAGCCGAUCAACUUCUGAGACAAGCAGUAUGACAUCUACGAGCAGUUAAUUGCUACCCCUUCAUCAUCAGCAGCAGCAGCAACAGGAGGAAGAGGAAGAGGAAGAAGGGGAGGAGGAGGAGGAGAAGGAAGAUGGCACCCAGGGGCUCACUGAGAAAUGAAGAGUCCACGUUCUUCCCUUGGUCACAGCUAAAAGGAGCCAAUAAACCAAAAGUGGACCAAU